UUUGAUCCUGGCUCAGAUUGAACGCUGGCGGCAGGCCUAACACAUGCAAGUCGAGCGGAAACGAGUUAUCUGAACCUUCGGGGGACGAUAACGGCGUCGAGCGGCGGACGGGUGAGUAAUGCCUAGGAAAUUGCCCUGAUGUGGGGGAUAACCAUUGGAAACGAUGGCUAAUACCGCAUAAUGCCUACGGGCCAAAGAGGGGGACCUUCGGGCCUCUCGCGUCAGGAUAUGCCUAGGUGGGAUUAGCUAGUUGGUGAGUAAUGGCUCACCAAGGCGACGAUCCCUAGCUGGUCUGAGAGGAUGAUCAGCCACACUGGAACUGAGACACGGUCCAGACUCCUACGGGAGGCAGCAGUGGGGAAUAUUGCACAAUGGGCGCAAGCCUGAUGCAGCCAUGCCGCGUGUGUGAAGAAGGCCUUCGGGUUGUAAAGCACUUUCAGUCGUGAGGAAGGUAGUGUAGUUAAUAGCUGCAUUAUUUGACGUUAGCGACAGAAGAAGCACCGGCUAACUCCGUGCAGCAGCCGCGGUAAUACGGAGGGUGCGAGCGUUAAUCGGAAUUACUGGGCGUAAAGCGCAUGCAGGUGGUUUGUUAAGUCAGAUGUGAAAGCCCGAGGCUCAACCUCGGAAUAGCAUUUGAAACUGGCAGACUAGAGUACUGUAGAGGGGGGUAGAAUUUCAGGUGUAGCGGUGAAAUGCGUAGAGAUCUGAAGGAAUACCGGUGGCGAAGGCGGCCCCCUGGACAGAUACUGACACUCAGAUGCGAAAGCGUGGGGACAAACAGGAUUAGAUACCCUGGUAGUCCACGCCGUAAACGAUGUCUACUUGGAGGUUGUGGCCUUGAGCCGUGGCUUUCGGAGCUAACGCGUUAAGUAGACCGCCUGGGGAGUACGGUCGCAAGAUUAAAACUCAAAUGAAUUGACGGGGGCCCGCACAAGCGGUGGAGCAUGUGGUUUAAUUCGAUGCAACGCGAAGAACCUUACCUACUCUUGACAUCCAGAGAACUUUUCAGAGAUGAAUUGGUGCCUUCGGGAAUCUGAGACAGGUGCUGCAUGGCUGUCGUCAGCUCGUGUUGUGAAAUGUUGGGUUAAGUCCCGCAACGAGCGCAACCCUUAUCCUUGUUUGCCAGCGAGUAAUGUCGGGAACUCCAGGGAGACUGCCGGUGAUAAACCGGAGGAAGGUGGGGACGACGUCAAGUCAUCAUGGCCCUUACGAGUAGGGCUACACACGUGCUACAAUGGCGCAUACAGAGGGCAGCAAGCUAGCGAUAGUGAGCGAAUCCCAAAAAGUGCGCGUAGUCCGGAUUGGAGUCUGCAACUCGACUCCAUGAAGUCGGAAUCGCUAGUAAUCGUGGAUCAGAAUGCCACGGUGAAUACGUUCCCGGGCCUUGUACACACCGCCCGUCACACCAUGGGAGUGGGCUGCAAAAGAAGUAGGUAGUUUAACCUUCGGGAGGACGCUUACCACUUUGUGGUUCAUGACUGGGGUGAAGUCGUAACAAGGUAACC
This 1505-nucleotide ribosomal RNA is filed under the name Vibrio sp. HE3. RNAcentral's name for it is "bacterial SSU rRNA". It matches the Rfam family "Bacterial small subunit ribosomal RNA". The record is from RNAcentral. Lineage: Bacteria; Pseudomonadati; Pseudomonadota; Gammaproteobacteria; Vibrionales; Vibrionaceae.